Non-coding RNA from Papilio xuthus (Asian swallowtail), 256 nucleotides. The record is from Rfam. Lineage: Eukaryota; Metazoa; Arthropoda; Insecta; Lepidoptera; Papilionidae.
UAAAGUCAAUGGUCCAAAUUACUCAUUUUGUCUCGGGAAGGUCUGAGUAAAGGUCGCUAGUUGUUUUUCCUACUCUUCUAGAAGGGAGCAUUGCCAAUAGCAAUGACAGAGGCACCAGAGACAUAAGCCUAGGGCUAGUUUAGGACUCCUAGGAUGAGACGUAACCCUAAGUGCUGUUGAAAGUUCCUCUGUGACCGGCUGUUUUAGAUCGAUUUGUGACACAGCAAUGCUGUAACUCGAUUCAGACUAGUCUUUA